Molecule: long non-coding RNA, 1956 nt
Filed under: Pandoravirus celtis
Description: hypothetical ncRNA
Source: RNAcentral
AACGCGCGCUCAGCGGCAAGGCGCUGUGUCACAUGUGCAUCCCCAUCGUCUUUGCAGCGCGACCACGCAUAUUGGAUCAAGUCGGUCGCGGCCGUGUAGGCGUCAGGGUCGGCGGUGGCGGCGACACGCUCCAACCUCUCAAAGAGUAGUGACCACACGUCGACAGCAUCAAUCAACGCCGAGGACGGCGCAGCGCGGGCAACGACGGUAUCGAGCGCCGCGACCAGACGCUCGAUGGUGCCAAUAUCAUGGCUAUUAUCGGCCGAAUCACAGGCAACGCGCAUCAUAGACGCCACCCAUGGCGGGUGCAUGCGCGCCACCUCGUCGGGCCAGCGCUCGCACAGCCAGGCAAAGCAGCGGGGAUCGGCUCGGCCGCCGACGCACGCCGCCAGGAAAAGGCUGUCGAGUUGGCUAAAGUCGCCCUUGCGCAGGGGGUUGUACUUUGGCGGGCCGUCACACAACCACGACAACAGAGCGUCCGAGUCGUCCGAACACCGCAUACGGUCGCCAUUGUCAUCCAGGCGGCAGGCACCCUCGGCAAGGCGCAUGAGUGUGUGCGACUGUUCCUGUGGAUUGUCACUGCACUCGGCACGACGCAAAAUCCACCUGGCGCCACCGAUCGACCGCCGCAUACAGAUGAGGUCGAUGGCAGCGUGCGAUGAGAUUGAGUCUGUGAUCCCAUGUGCGUCGUAGACGCCUAGUAUGGCCGACACUGCAUCAGAGACGCUGUAUGCGUCCAGGCGUGUGGCGCUGGUGCGCUCGAUGCAUUGGGUCACGAGUUCCAACUGGUUGCAGUCAGAGUCCACCCACGAGCCGAGGUUGGUGGCCCACGCGCGACCACGGGGUUCCUUGGCGGCCUCUAGGCACCAUGCCACAAUCCUGGGUCCCGACGCCUGUUCCAUGGCCUGAACGGCGUCACCGUGCGCUGCUCUGCCAAUGGAGAGUAGCAUCUCCAGAGCCACAGGGUCGUCGUUGGCGGCCGCGGCGCCGAUCGCCGCCUGGUUCAUGAGCGCACGCGGCAUGGCAUCGGCGACGCGCGCGAUGGCAUCAUGGCAGCCGCUGCGUACGACGGCGGCCGCCACGACAAAUGGAUGAUGUGCGACGAUCUCUUGAUAGGACAUGCGCGGCCAGGGCGUAUCGCACGGCACCGCCGACGGGCCAUCAACGGCAGCCGCGCCGUCCCCAGACGCCCGUGUGUCGGCCCACUUGGGCGUGUCGGCGCGGAUGAAUGCCAGUGCGCGCUCGACCAGCGCCGGCACGCCCGAUGCCGCCAAGACGACCUCGAUAGCAUGGUCGGGCACGGCUGUCGUCUUGUUGAUCCAUGCAACCAAAUGGUCGAUGGCGAUAGUAUCCCACGCCAUCGAAUCGCGGCGCAUUUUGGCCCAUUGGACAAAGGUUGAUGCGCAGACCAGGCGGCCACGACUCCACAGGAUUUGGCGUGCGGGCUUCCACAUGCAUGCGCGUGUACACGGCGGACCGCCAUAAAAGGACGGUGUGGCCCGGUCGAUGAUCUCACGCCAUAGGCAGCAGACGGCGCGCACGGCAAACCGCCAUUUGGGCUCGACGCCGCCGUAUUCGUCAAUGUCGCCAUCGUUGUCGCCCACCAGGACCAGGGUCCACAAUUCGGGCGGGAGGAUGUCUUCGGGGGCCGUCUCCAUCACAAAAUUUGGUUGCGUGUAUGUACACACGCUGUAUGCCUUUUGCUCUCGCGUGGUUGUCUAUGGACGGGCUCGUGGUACAAAGGACCCGCGCCUAUGGGCGGGGACUUGUGCGGCACCGCCAGGACCAAUGACGUCACAAUGCCUUUUUCCUCCAUCCCCCCCCCCCACAAAGGAAAUCCUAGUGAAACAACAAAAUAAAAAAGAGACGAAAAGUGCAAAGGCGACUGCGGCGCCCGUCCGAGCGCCGUCGCGAUGGAUGGCGCCCCAGGCACGCCACAAUGGUCCCUCAAUUUGC